AUUGAACGCUGGCGGCAUGCUUUACACAUGCAAGUCGAACGGUAACAGGCCUUCGGGUGCUGACGAGUGGCGAACGGGUGAGUAAUGCAUCGGAACGUACCCAGAGGUGGGGGAUAACGCAGCGAAAGCUGUGCUAAUACCGCAUGUGAUCUGAGGAUGAAAGCGGGGGACCGAGCAGCAAUGUUUGGCCUCGCGCCUUUGGAGCGGCCGAUGUCGGAUUAGCUAGUUGGUGGGGUAAAGGCCUACCAAGGCGACGAUCCGUAGCUGGUCUGAGAGGACGACCAGCCACACUGGGACUGAGACACGGCCCAGACUCCUACGGGAGGCAGCAGUGGGGAAUUUUGGACAAUGGGCGCAAGCCUGAUCCAGCAAUGCCGCGUGCGGGAAGAAGGCCUUCGGGUUGUAAACCGCUUUUGGCAGGAACGAAACGGUGUCCGCUAAUACCGGGCGCUAAUGACGGUACCUGCAGAAUAAGCACCGGCCAACUACGUG
RNAcentral lists this ribosomal RNA (492 nucleotides) under uncultured bacterium. RNAcentral's name for it is "partial 16S ribosomal RNA". It matches the Rfam family "Bacterial small subunit ribosomal RNA", at positions 29 to 507 of the family's 1533-position model. The record is from RNAcentral.